UACCUGGAGGACUAGUGGUUAGGCAACAGCGCUCUCGCCGCUGCGGCCCACGUUCGAUUCCCGGCCAGGGAA
RNAcentral lists this transfer RNA (72 nucleotides) under Pangasianodon gigas (Mekong giant catfish). RNAcentral's name for it is "tRNA-Glu". Lineage: Eukaryota; Metazoa; Chordata; Actinopteri; Siluriformes; Pangasiidae. The record is from RNAcentral.